RNAcentral lists this RNase P RNA (469 nucleotides) under Lentisphaerota bacterium. Its description in RNAcentral is "Lentisphaerae bacterium (aquatic metagenome) RNase P RNA component class A". It matches the Rfam family "Bacterial RNase P class A". Rfam says of the family: Ribonuclease P (RNase P) is a ubiquitous endoribonuclease, found in archaea, bacteria and eukarya as well as chloroplasts and mitochondria. Lineage: Bacteria; Pseudomonadati; Lentisphaerota. The record is from RNAcentral.
CGGUCGGGGGCCUUCGGUCGCUGCUCUGACCCAAGACGUGGAGGGCUUGCCCCCCGUAGCCUUGGCGAAGGGGGGAGGAAAGUCCGGACACCGUAGGGCAGGAUGCCUCGUGAAAACGGGGGACGUUACGUUAAAGCGUGAUGGACGGCCAGUGCCACAGAAAAUAUACCGUCUGCUUGAGCUGGGUUGCAGGGGACUUGUCCCCCGUAGCUCUAGCAAAGGGGGAUAAGGGUGAAAUGGUGGUGUAAGAGACCACCGGGUCAAGCGUAAGCGCGAUCGCAAGGUAAACCCCAUCCGGUGCAAGAUCAAAUAGGGAACGAGAGACGGCCCGUCUCAUUUCCCGCGGCGCGCAAGUAUUCGCGGGAUGGAAGUUUCGGGUUGAUCGCAAAGAUAAAUGACUGAACCCUGGCAGGGCCGCUUGCGGUGCUGGUGGGCCAACAGAAUCCGGCUUAUGACCCCCGAUCGUCGU